AGUUGGUCUCUAAAGGCAUUCACCGUUUCUUCCGCUUUUGUCCUACAAAAUUCUGAAUCGGGAAAUAAAAAAGUCGCCACCACGACAGAUAGCACACAGCAGAAGUUGUUUUCAAAGGACCUAACUACAUCAUGACCUCGCAAGAAAGGGAUCAUACAGCUGUGGACGGAGCAGACGGGGAGCUGUCAGCACCGGAGAACGCAGCUGGCGAGCACGAAAGAGCAGAAAGGAGAAUUGUUGAAAGGCUUUUAGAUAUCAGUGAGGAGAACUUCUUGAAUGAGAAGGAGCUAAAUGAGUUCCAUUGUUACUCUGGUUGGGAGGAUGCUGUUUGUGGUUGGGCCAGAGUUGCUCCCCUGAGCUGCAUACUUUUGACUUCAAACACAGACAAGAAACCAAAGCAUAAGGAGGCUGGCAAUGGAACUCCUUCAUCUGAUGACCCAGUGCCUUCUAAUGCAGACAGCUCAGACAGCAUUACAGAGCAGCACUGUGAGUCUCAGUGAGGCCACAAUGUUUAA
Molecule: RNA transcript, 515 nt
Organism: Pelmatolapia mariae (spotted tilapia)
Lineage: Eukaryota; Metazoa; Chordata; Actinopteri; Cichliformes; Cichlidae
Exons: 3
Source: RefSeq, a predicted model, not a curated record